Molecule: ribosomal RNA, 662 nt
Filed under: Escherichia coli
Lineage: Bacteria; Pseudomonadati; Pseudomonadota; Gammaproteobacteria; Enterobacterales; Enterobacteriaceae
Description: partial 23S ribosomal RNA
Rfam family: Bacterial large subunit ribosomal RNA
Source: RNAcentral
AGAGCCUGAAUCAGUGUGUGUGUUAGUGGAAGCGUCUGGAAAGGCGCGCGAUACAGGGUGACAGCCCCGUACACAAAAAUGCACAUACUGUGAGCUCGAUGAGUAGGGCGGGACACGUGGUAUCCUGUCUGAAUAUGGGGGGACCAUCCUCCAAGGCUAAAUACUCCUGACUGACCGAUAGUGAACCAGUACCGUGAGGGAAAGGCGAAAAGAACCCCGGCGAGGGGAGUGAAAAAGAACCUGAAACCGUGUACGUACAAGCAGUGGGAGCCUCUUAAUGGGGUGACUGCGUACCUUUUGUAUAAUGGGUCAGCGACUUAUAUUCUGUAGCAAGGUUAACCGAAUAGGGGAGCCGAAGGGAAACCGAGUCUUAACUGGGCGUUAAGUUGCAGGGUAUAGACCCGAAACCCGGUGAUCUAGCCAUGGGCAGGUUGAAGGUUGGGUAACACUAACUGGAGGACCGAACCGACUAAUGUUGAAAAAUUAGCGGAUGACUUGUGGCUGGGGGUGAAAGGCCAAUCAAACCGGGAGAUAGCUGGUUCUCCCCGAAAGCUAUUUAGGUAGCGCCUCGUGAAUUCAUCUCCGGGGGUAGAGCACUGUUUCGGCAAGGGGGUCAUCCCGACUUACCAACCCGAUGCAAACUGCGAAUACCGGAGAAUGUU